CCCUCGCCCUCUCUUUCUCUCUCUCUCUCUCUCUCAACAAAAUACAGGCAGGCCCCUGUUAUGCAAAGCCGGAGGAGAAGGGACUCUCCUCCCUCUCUUAGUCUCUCUCUGUCUUCCCCUUCCCUCCCUCUCUCUCGCUCCUUUCCUCUCCCUCCCUCCUCUAUCUCUCUCUUUUCCUCUCUCCCCUCCCUCUCCCACCCUAUUUGCUCUUUGUCAAGACAUGCCAAAAUGGCAUGGCAUAGUACUGUACCAUACCAUACCGCCGGCCUACUAGUAUGGGUGCUGGUUCUAAUAUUGUAAAUAUUAGAAAAUAUGAUUAUUUUUGUAGAUCAAUGAAAGGGCUAAACCUAGAGACAAGAACUCCCUUUUUCUUGGGCCUAUCGUUUAAGAAAGAGUCUUAGUUUUGUCAGGUUUAAUUUUAUUAUUGUAACAGAUCUUUUUGCAUCAAAUCAUUGGUGUUUUGCUAGAUGUCUAUAUGGGAUAGUUUUGACACCUAAUAGGUCUUUAGUGCCUUUCAACUUUCUGUUCAAGUUCUUUAGUGUCUUUCAACUUUCAGUUGGAGUUCUAUUUGAACUC
This 576-nucleotide long non-coding RNA is filed under the name Elaeis guineensis (African oil palm). Its description in RNAcentral is "long non-coding RNA (EGUI_LNC038226)". Lineage: Eukaryota; Viridiplantae; Streptophyta; Magnoliopsida; Arecales; Arecaceae. The record is from RNAcentral.